GGACUACCCGGGUUUCUAAUCCUGUUUGAUCCCCACACUUUCGUGCAUCAGCGUCAGUUACAGCCCAGUAAGCUGCCUUCGCUAUCGGUGUUCUUGACGAUAUCUAUGCAUUUCACCGCUACACCGUCAAUUCCGCCUACCUCAUCUGUACUCAAGCCCUGCAGUAUCAAUGCCACCCUCUCGGUUAAGCCGAGAUAUUUCAGCACUGACUUACAGGGCCGCCUACGCACCCUUUAAACCCAAUAAAUCCGGACAACGCUCGCCACCUACGUAUUACCGCGGCUGCUGGCAC
RNAcentral lists this ribosomal RNA (292 nucleotides) under uncultured Bacteroidota bacterium. RNAcentral describes it as "uncultured Bacteroidetes bacterium partial 16S ribosomal RNA". The record is from RNAcentral. Lineage: Bacteria; Pseudomonadati; Bacteroidota.